Cyprinus carpio carpio is the source of this 666-nucleotide long non-coding RNA. The record is from Ensembl. Lineage: Eukaryota; Metazoa; Chordata; Actinopteri; Cypriniformes; Cyprinidae.
AUGAGCUUCUCCCAGGCAGAUGAGCCACAAGAUGCUUGGGGUGAACACUCACCUGACAUUCAAGAGAAUGCAUUUUCUGUGCUGAGACCUUCAAGUUCCAAGCAAGAAAGAACACAGCCUCAUUUCAGAGAGAGCUUCUCUCAUGCAGACCGCCAGCUGGAAACUUGGGAAGAACACCCAUCUAUCACUCAAGCUGUUCCAGUGAGCUUGUCCAAUGAAAAUGAGCAAGAGGAUGCUUGGGAUGAACACCCAUCUAACUUUCAAGAGAACACAAUCUCUGAACAGAGACCCUCAAGUACCUACCAGGCAAGAACAAAUAGUGCUUCUGGUGUGAGACGAUGGAGCUGCAUCACUAAUCAAUGUACACCUGUUGAGAGGACAAUUCUGGAGGUACUUAACGAACUGGACAUGAAGAUCAAUCAUCUGUCUUCAGUGGUCCAGUCCCUUGCAGCUAACAGUCGUUCCAGUGCUCCAGUGCUGCUGGUGGACAGCGAGGAUGAUGUCUUUCCUCUCACAACCAUGGAGGAACUAGACAAACUGGAAAGACAAUUGUCAGAAAAAGCAAUGAUGCAAAAGAUGGUAAAAAUCAUUGACAUUUGUAGGUUUAACAGUUGUAGUGAAAUAAAAAAUGUCUAUUAUAUACCGAGAUUCACAGACAAGGCUUAA